Carassius carassius (crucian carp) is the source of this 692-nucleotide long non-coding RNA. RefSeq lists it as uncharacterized. The transcript is spliced from 4 exons. Lineage: Eukaryota; Metazoa; Chordata; Actinopteri; Cypriniformes; Cyprinidae. The record is from RefSeq and is a predicted model, not a curated record.
GAUAUCACGGAUUUCUUCAUUUUUAUCGCGCUCUGUCAGCUCUUUUUAUCGGUUCUUUAUCUUUAAACGAAUGCAGCAGGUCUCAGUGAAUCUAUUGUCAAGCGGCUGAUUUGAAGUGGGCUCUUUCUCUCUCGCGAUGGCUGGACAGACCAAAGAGGCUCUUUGUUUUCACAAAGGCUCUGUCACUACUUCCUGUUGACACAAGAUGAAUGUCCAUCACAUCCUGUCGCCAGUGUUAGUGCCUGGUGUUCGUUGUCUGAUUGACAGCUGAAUGAAUGAAGCCAAAGCAAUCUUUGCAAACAGAGACAUGACUGUUUCCCGUCUGCGGUCGUGACAAGACUCAACUCAAAGGACUCCUGCUGGAGUUUUGUGUCAGAGAAAAGCGUUCGUCUUGUCAGCUGCUGCUGCUCCAGAUGGAAAGUGUGGAGGUGAUUCUUCAGCUGGAGGUGGAAGAUUGUCAGAAAAAUGCUGAGAGGUUGAAAUUUUUCUCAUGUUUAACGCUGAUGCUGUGUGUGUGUGUGUCUCCAUCGAUUUCAUCCAAUCACUGGAAUUCACUGCCCUUCACAGAGUGAUGGACGCCAGGCUAAAUCACAGCCCUCGUCUGCACUGCAGAGUUCCCCUCGGAGGACGGGAGUUAAUCAGUGCCAAUGACACCGCAGGAACGUCUUCAGGCUGCUGAAUUUGGUAGGUCU